This 437-nucleotide ribosomal RNA is filed under the name uncultured Anaerotruncus sp. RNAcentral describes it as "partial 16S ribosomal RNA". It matches the Rfam family "Bacterial small subunit ribosomal RNA", at positions 341 to 792 of the family's 1533-position model. The record is from RNAcentral. Lineage: Bacteria; Bacillati; Bacillota; Clostridia; Eubacteriales; Oscillospiraceae.
ACGGGAGGCAGCAGUGGGGAAUAUUGGGCAAUGGGCGAAAGCCUGACCCAGCGACGCCGCGUGAGGGAAGACGGUCUUCGGAUUGUAAACCUCUUUCAGCAGGGAAGAAGAAAGUGACGGUACCUGCAGAAGAAGUCACGGCUAACUACGUGCCAGCAGCCGCGGUAAUACGUAGGUGGCGAGCGUUAUCCGGAAUUACUGGGUGUAAAGGGAGCGCAGGCGGGUCAGCAAGUCAGCGGUGAAAAUUAUGGGCUCAACCCAUAAACUGCCGUUGAAACUGUUGAUCUUGAGUGGAGUAGAGGCAGGCGGAAUUCCGAGUGUAGCGGUGAAAUGCGUAGAUAUUCGGAGGAACACCAGUGGCGAAGGCGGCCUGCUGGGCUCUAACUGACGCUGAGGCUCGAAAGUGUGGGGAGCAAACAGGAUUAGAUACCCUGGUA